This 497-nucleotide ribosomal RNA is filed under the name uncultured bacterium. RNAcentral describes it as "partial 16S ribosomal RNA". It matches the Rfam family "Bacterial small subunit ribosomal RNA", at positions 28 to 507 of the family's 1533-position model. The record is from RNAcentral.
GAUGAACGCUGGCGGCGUGCCUAAUACAUGCAAGUCGAGCGAACAGACGAGGAGCUUGCUCCUCUGACGUUAGCGGCGGACGGGUGAGUAACACGUGGAUAACCUACCUAUAAGACUGGGAUAACUUCGGGAAACCGGAGCUAAUACCGGAUAAUAUAUUGAACCGCAUGGUUCAAUAGUGAAAGACGGUUUUGCUGUCACUUAUAGAUGGAUCCGCGCCGCAUUAGCUAGUUGGUAAGGUAACGGCUUACCAAGGCAACGAUGCGUAGCCGACCUGAGAGGGUGAUCGGCCACACUGGAACUGAGACACGGUCCAGACUCCUACGGGAGGCAACAGUAGGGAAUCUUCCGCGAUGGAGGAAAGCCUGACGGAGCAACGCCGCGUGAGUGAUGAAGGUCUUCGGAUCGUAAAACUCUGUUAUUAGGGAAGAACAAAUGUGUAAGUAACUAUGCACGUCUUGACGGUACCUAAUCAGAAAGCCACGGCUAACUACGUG